GACGAACGCUGGUGGCGUGCUUAACACAUGCAAGUCGAACGGAAAGGCCCUGCUUUUGUGGGGUGCUCGAGUGGCGAACGGGUGAGUAACACGUGAGUAACCUGCCCUUGACUUUGGGAUAACUUCAGGAAACUGGGGCUAAUACCGGAUAGGAGCUCCUGCUGCAUGGUGGGGGUUGGAAAGUUUCGGCGGUUGGGGAUGGACUCGCGGCUUAUCAGCUUGUUGGUGGGGUAGUGGCUUACCAAGGCUUUGACGGGUAGCCGGCCUGAGAGGGUGACCGGCCACAUUGGGACUGAGAUACGGCCCAGACUCCUACGGGAGGCAGCAGUGGGGAAUAUUGAACAAUGGGCGGAAGCCUGAUGCAGCAACGCCGCGUGCGGGAUGACGGCCUUCGGGUUGUAAACCGCUUUCGCCUGUGACGAAGCGUGAGUGACGGUAAUGGGUAAAGAAGCACCGGCUAACUACGUG
This 468-nucleotide ribosomal RNA is filed under the name uncultured bacterium. Its description in RNAcentral is "partial 16S ribosomal RNA". It matches the Rfam family "Bacterial small subunit ribosomal RNA", at positions 28 to 507 of the family's 1533-position model. The record is from RNAcentral.